Molecule: ribosomal RNA, 535 nt
Filed under: uncultured bacterium
Lineage: Bacteria
Description: bacterial SSU rRNA
Rfam family: Bacterial small subunit ribosomal RNA
Source: RNAcentral
AAUAGAUACCCCGGUAGUCCACGCCCUAAACUAUGUCGACUAGUUGUUGGGGGAGUCUGUCCCUCAGUAACGUAGCUAACGCGUGAAGUCGACCGCCUGGGGAGUACGGUCGCAAGAUUAAAACUCAAAGGAAUUGACGGGGACCCGCACAAGCGGUGGAUUAUGUGGAUUAAUUCGAUGCAACGCGAAGAACCUUACCUACCCUUGACAUGCCAGGAACCUCGCAGAGAUGUGAGGGUGCCCGAAAGGGAACCUGGACACAGGUGCUGCAUGGCUGUCGUCAGCUCGUGUCGUGAGAUGUUGGAUUAAGUCCCGCAACGAGCGCAACCCUUGCCAUUAGUUGCUACAUUCAGUUGGGCACUCUAAUGGGACUGCCGGUGACAAACCGGAGGAAGGUGGGGAUGACGUCAAGUCCUCAUGGCCCUUAUGGGUAGGGCUUCACACGUAAUACAAUGGCGCAUACAGAGGGCUGCAAACCCGGCGAGGGGGAGCCAAUCCCGAAAAAGUGCGUCGUAGUCCGGAUUGUUCUCUGCAA